Molecule: transfer RNA, 52 nt
Filed under: Lathyrus clymenum
Lineage: Eukaryota; Viridiplantae; Streptophyta; Magnoliopsida; Fabales; Fabaceae
Description: tRNA-Gln
Rfam family: tRNA
About the family: Transfer RNA (tRNA) molecules are approximately 80 nucleotides in length. Their secondary structure includes four short double-helical elements and three loops (D, anti-codon, and T loops). Further hydrogen bonds mediate the characteristic L-shaped molecular structure. tRNAs have two regions of fundamental functional importance: the anti-codon, which is responsible for specific mRNA codon recognition, and the 3' end, to which the tRNAs corresponding amino acid is attached (by aminoacyl-tRNA synthetases). tRNAs cope with the degeneracy of the genetic code in two manners: having more than one tRNA (with a specific anti-codon) for a particular amino acid; and 'wobble' base-pairing, i.e. permitting non-standard base-pairing at the 3rd anti-codon position.
Source: RNAcentral
AGGCGGCGGGUUUUGAUCCCGUUAUGCGGAGGUUCGAAUCCUUCCGUCCCAG